UGCGUAGUAGUCUCACAUUUUAUUUUAUUUUAUUUUUCACGUCCCCUGCGUGGACUUUUGAGUGCUUUGUCUCUCUCCCUCUCUGCGCGCGUAUUGCCGUGUAUAGGUCCGUCAGUGUCGGUGUCUGGGCUGCCACACUCACCAAGCUCGUGUGCGCUCAGCAAAAAAAAAAAAUUAAGUCGAUUAGGGUCAGCCUUGCUUCAUCGCUGUCGAUUCUGUGCCGCCCAGUCGUCUCUCUGCACCCGAGGCUCAGGCACACAGACACGCGCACGUGCGACGUCUUAAAUCUCCGUCUCUCUUGAGUCUCCUUUCCUCCCCCUUUCUUUUUACUUCUGCGCUGCUUCCUCUUAGAGGAGCACCUCCGCACUACGAGGCGUCGCCUAGUGCGAGAGCGAGGUGUUUUAUUGUGUGUGUGUGUGCGUGCGUGUGUGUGUGUGUGUGUUGCACGACAGGGUCGAAUGGGGUUGCUUUGUCGAGCGCCCACCUUCGUCCCUUCCUCUCCCUCCCUCACCAUCUCUGUGCUCCGCCACCCGCCCACCCUACUUCCACUUUGGCGUACAUCUCGCAUCUCUUGUGCAGCCUUCAAAUUUCGCUUUGUGUCUUUGUGUGCGUGUGUGCUCGUUAUUGGUGUGCAUGCAGGCGUUUCUUGCUCCUACGACCUCUCUGACAGUACCUUUGUUGUUGUUGUCUUGUGCUCCUACACGCCCCACACUACGCGCCUUUCUCUCCUCCUCCUUCUCCCUCCCUCUCUUUUUACCACCACCACCACCUCUUCUUGUUGCUGCACAGAUUCACUUCCCUCCGCCAUCGUUCUCUCCUUCUUUCUCGCUCUUGUUGCCCACUCUUAGACGCAUCAAUCUCGCUCUAUGCGUGUGUGCGUGUGCGUGACGAAGAGCCACGCUUACAUUCUCUCUGCAUCUGUAUAUUUCUUCCUCGCGCUUCGCCAUACGUUACCCGUCGCGUCUCUUUUCUUCAUCUCACGCGCCCCCGCCCCCACCCCCUCUGUGAGCGUCCUGUCGUUGUGCGUAACACGCAGAGCUACUGUCUCCCUCAACCCCUUUUCCUUUUUGCUUUUCCUUUCCACGUCUUCCACCACCAUUCCACCAGGUCACUGCGCUGCUGCACGCUAGCCUCUCCUGUGAGACAAUCGCCGUACCAUUGCCAGCCAUCACGGAAAGCUGCACACAAUGGCACAGGCCGCGUACCCACCGUCACGAGAGGGCAGCUACCCACACUCUCGUAGCGGUGGUCCCCGCGCGAACCCGAUGCUGCCCGAGCAGAUGAUCGGCAGCUACGUCAUUCGCGAGACCAUCGGCCGCGGUAGCUUUGGCAAGGUGAAGAAAGGGCGACACGUGCACACUGGAGAGUAUGUCGCCAUCAAGAUCCUCAACCGCCAAAAACUCAAGUCCGCCAACAUGGACAAGAAGAUUCACCGCGAGAUCGAAAUUCUGCAGCUGUUCUCUCACCCGAACAUCUGCCGUCUCUACGAGGUCAUCUCCACACCUACGGACAUGUACCUUAUUAUGGAGUACGUGGAAGGCGGAGAGCUGUACGACUACAUUGUCCAGAAGGGCCGCGUGCGGGAAAGUGAGGCGCGUUACAUCUUCCAGCAGAUUGUGUGCGCGAUCGAGUACUGCCACCACUUCCGCGUCGUGCAUCGUGACCUAAAGCCAGAGAACAUUCUGCUGGGAACUGGGCUGCAGGUAAAGCUGAUCGACUUUGGUCUUUCGAACAUCACGAAGGAUGGCGAGUUCCUCGCGACGUCGUGCGGGUCGCCCAACUACGCCGCACCGGAGGUCAUUUCAGGUAAACUGUACUUUGGUCCAGAGGUGGAUGUAUGGUCUUGUGGCGUCAUUCUCUACGCGCUGCUCUGCGGGUGCCUGCCGUUCGACGAGGAUAGCAUCCCGCUCCUUUUCAGCAAGAUCAAGAAAGGCAAGUACGCCAUCCCAUCCAACAUGCAGACGGGGCCGCGGGAGCUCAUUCAGCAGAUCCUCGUCGUGGACCCACUCGUGCGGCUCACCGUCCCGCAAAUCCGCGACAACGCCUGGUUCAAUCAACGCCUGCCAAUGCGGCUGUCUUACAGUGAGUCCAUCUUCAGCGUGAAGGAAGACCGCAUUUUAUCGGUGUUGGUGAGCGAAACAGCGAAGCGGCUGGGAGUGCGGGACAGAGAUGUGCGCAAGGAGCUCGAGCUCGGCUACGGGGCCGCCUUUGUCGCCUAUAAUAUUCUGUUGGACGCACGCCGCCGUCGCGAGAUUGCGGCUGAAGUGCGCGAGCUUGGCAUGUCCGGCGAUGAGUCCCGCGGGGUGAGCCACGUCAUCGGCGCCCAGCAGACGAAGUUUCAGCCAAAGGCGACAGAGCGGGAGCUCAACAUGGGCCUCAUGCUGACGCAGAGCCCCGCGAUGGUGGUGCUGCUUGACGAAGAAGACGCCACGAGGAACAAGUGGGCCUACAACCGCGGCUGCUUCGUGCCCGCUUCCGUCGCAACCCUUGGCGACCCAACAAAGGUGAGCGAUACGAGCCUGAGCGAUGGCAGCGGCAAUGGCGGUCCAGGCGGGUCGAUCGCAGUCGGCUCCUUCCGUAUCACUUCCAAGAUGUGCUCCGGAUCCCUGGUCGGCUCCGGCAGCGUAGGCUCUUCCUCUUAUGCGCCAGGCAGUCUGCGCGGCGCGGCGGGGCUCACGGGCGGCAGCAGCAGCUACCGGCGUGCUGGCAUGCAGAGCAGCACAGGGGGAACCGCCGCCUCGCAGCUGGGGGCGAACCUGAGCGACCAGCCGCGCGUCGGAUCUGUAGCCCGCAAGCACGCCAUGUACACCGCGGAGGAGGAGCAGUUCAUUGUGGAGAACAACUACGGCUGGCGCAUCGGUAUCAUGACGGACUGGCGGGCAGAGCAGGCGCUUUCCGCCAUCUAUGACGUCCUGCGCACCUUCAAGAUGCAGUGGAAGGUGGUCUCGCCCUUCCGCCUCUUGGCACGGUCAACAGCCGAGACAUGGAGUGUGGUGGCGGACUCGACGCAGAGCCGCAACGCGUCCACACGCCGAAACACGCUAAGCACUUACUCCGUUGAAUCCUCUGCACCGAUCCGGAUUGGCUGCCGCAGCGGUGCCCCAGGGAGCGGCAGCAGUGACGAUCACGAGGACGGAGACAUCGCCGGUAGCAUGCAACGCGACGAGGAGUGCAUCCACGCACAUAUAACCCGCACACGCCGGGCAGGCGCUGCGGCUCGCAGCUUCGGGAGCGCACCAGGUGGCGGCUUCAACACUAGCUCGAGCCAGGUCGCGCGCGGCAACUAUUUCGGCGGCCUACAGGGCGGAGACGAGGAAGCGGCGAUAGUCUCUGGAAGCGCGGCGUCGGGAGUGCUGCAGUCAGCACAUGCGAUUGAGAGCGGGUCUGAGUCGACGUCCUCGCCGCGUGACCCACGCGGCGCGUCCCCACCAGCGAGCGCCGCUGCCUCCACCUCCGCAAUUGCGGAACCAGCCUCGUCACCGGCAAAUCCUGUCGUUAUUUCCCUCUACUUCUUUCGCAUUCACGAGCGGCACGAUAAAGGUUACCUGGUGGAUUUCAAGGUCGUGCGCAAUGCCAUGGUCGCCGCGGACCUGGUGCUUCUCCUCUCUGAUACGCUGGUCAGGAAGUUGGGCUAAGAGAACGCAAAGCAGUUGAGCUGGCGCGGCAGGGUUACUGCAAAAGAUGUGUGCGUGUUUUUCUGUGCACGUGCUCCUCAGCGCGUACACCCAUACCUGAGAUGGGUAGUUGAGAAGAUGGGUUCUGGCCAGCGGAGCCAACGAGGCCAUCGGUAGAGAGGCGCUGGACAAAGGAGUGGCAUGCCGACAGCGCAUGAGCGCUGUCUGCGUUUUAGCUCCCCAUCCAGCGCAGCGACUUUUUGACCUUCAUGUGUGCCUCCCCGUCUCUCUACGCCGGUCUCUACUCCUUUACAGAACGCGGUGCGCGUCUUCGUAGGCAAGGUAUCCCCUGUGCAUCUUCUUCCUUUCUCGGUGCGCACCUCUCCCCUGUGCAGCGGCUCUGACCCUCACUCUGUGAAUCCCCGCUGUCUCCCUGCACGCUCGUGCAAACGGAAAAUAAAAAGGGAAGGGAGGGUCUUGGGGAAGGAGGAAGAACGCAAUGUAUCUUUUCGAGAGGGUGGCGCACUUUUCUGACCUUCUCACGUCCGCCGCCGCUGCCGCCGCCGCGCUGGCGUGAUCUUUCCACUUCUUUUCGUUUUCAGCUACAUUUUAUGCUCCUCUGCCUUCGUGUUUUCUCUCUCCGUCCUCCACGCGUCUUCUCUACCCCUCCCUCCCUCCCUCCCCUUCUUCCCACGGCGUGCGUCGCCGAAUGUUGCUGGGAUGGUGCGACAGGAGGGGAGGAGGAACAAGGGACGAGUCCCCUCCCCGCUCCUCCCUCUGAUGCGAGUGUGUCUGUCAAGCGCCCGUCUGCGGCAGAUCUUUUUUUUUUUCAUUUUUUUUUCGCUCGGCGGUGGAGUCCGGCGGAGAACAGAGAAGACUGAGGGCCGAAGAGGGGCGGUGUCGCAUGUGUGUGGGUGUGUGUGGAGGGGCUCGCCGCUUUGGGCGCCGGGCUCUUCCCUCCCUGCCCCCUCUUUCUCUCUUGCUUUUACUCGUCCAAUAUUGCUGUGAGCUGAUGAGCUCGGGGCCGUAUACCUGUGCCCUUCUCGUUUUGCUCGUUUUUUUUUUCGUCUGGGCUUUGUGGUUCUCUUCUCUCGACGCCGGAGCCGCAACUCGGCUCUGCUCCUCCUUUUUGUUCUCCUGUUGCAUGGCUUCCGUGCGGGCGCGUCUGCCUGCGUCACUGCUGCCCCACGGCGGCCGAGUAGCAGAAGUGAAAUUCAGUGUGAGUGGGAUGCGAUCAUGUGAGAAGCGUGAAGUAGCUACCUAGGUCUGGAUGCCUGCUGCUGUGAAUGGUGUACAUCGACACCAGCCGCGCUUGCAGUCAAGCGUUCUUAUGGCGGUGGGAGGGGGUUGUUUUGUGUGUUUCAUUUUUCGUGGUGAACCUGCUGGAGGUGCCACUGUCGCUGCGUGGGUGUGUGCGCGCGCGUGCAUGAGCGUGUGGGCGAACGCAGGUGGCGAAACGAUGCCGCGCGGGAGUCCCUCUUUCCCCUUGCAGCUUUCUCGCUGUGACUUGUCGGAGUUACUAAUACUUGAAAUGCACACGGAAGACUCGGCCAACAAACGCGACACUCAUACCUGAGCAAGUGGGUGACAAUGGAACGUCAUACGCGGGAGUAGUCCUGUUCGCCGAGCCGCAAAUAUGAGCUCUCCGUCGUGCGCGCGUCUACGUCAGGGCGCGUGUGCGUCUUCAAGCGCUGAGCGCUUGCCUGUGUCGUUGACGUUUCGCUCUCACCCCCCCCGAACUCCUCCUUCUAGCACCGUGGCAUUGAAACACUCACAUGCAGUGUGCCUCCGCUGGUCAAAGUCGUGCGAACUUGUGCGCCGUAGCCUAGAAGGUGGGCAUGGCAACACAUAUCGAGAAAGAUAGCCACGACGCCUCAUCCUUUGUCCUCCCUCUUCUUAAGCUGCUUGUUCCUUUCUUGCCCCCCCCCGUCUCUGCACCCCUUCCUCCGCCGCGCAUUUCCCGUCGACGCUCAAUGGAG
RNAcentral lists this unclassified non-coding RNA (5593 nucleotides) under Leishmania donovani. Its description in RNAcentral is "gene:LdHU3.29.3050(CDS-product:5'-AMP-activated_p rotein_kinase_catalytic_subunit_alpha-_putative)". Lineage: Eukaryota; Euglenozoa; Kinetoplastea; Trypanosomatida; Trypanosomatidae. The record is from RNAcentral.